This 2432-nucleotide ribosomal RNA is filed under the name Escherichia coli. RNAcentral describes it as "partial 23S ribosomal RNA". It matches the Rfam family "Bacterial large subunit ribosomal RNA", at positions 513 to 2925 of the family's 2925-position model. The record is from RNAcentral. Lineage: Bacteria; Pseudomonadati; Pseudomonadota; Gammaproteobacteria; Enterobacterales; Enterobacteriaceae.
GGCGAAAAGAACCCCGGCGAGGGGAGUGAAAAAGAACCUGAAACCGUGUACGUACAAGCAGUGGGAGCCUCUUAAUGGGGUGACUGCGUACCUUUUGUAUAAUGGGUCAGCGACUUAUAUUCUGUAGCAAGGUUAACCGAAUAGGGGAGCCGAAGGGAAACCGAGUCUUAACUGGGCGUUAAGUUGCAGGGUAUAGACCCGAAACCCGGUGAUCUAGCCAUGGGCAGGUUGAAGGUUGGGUAACACUAACUGGAGGACCGAACCGACUAAUGUUGAAAAAUUAGCGGAUGACUUGUGGCUGGGGGUGAAAGGCCAAUCAAACCGGGAGAUAGCUGGUUCUCCCCGAAAGCUAUUUAGGUAGCGCCUCGUGAAUUCAUCUCCGGGGGUAGAGCACUGUUUCGGCAAGGGGGUCAUCCCGACUUACCAACCCGAUGCAAACUGCGAAUACCGGAGAAUGUUAUCACGGGAGACACACGGCGGGUGCUAACGUCCGUCGUGAAGAGGGAAACAACCCAGACCGCCAGCUAAGGUCCCAAAGUCAUGGUUAAGUGGGAAACGAUGUGGGAAGGCCCAGACAGCCAGGAUGUUGGCUUAGAAGCAGCCAUCAUUUAAAGAAAGCGUAAUAGCUCACUGGUCGAGUCGGCCUGCGCGGAAGAUGUAACGGGGCUAAACCAUGCACCGAAGCUGCGGCAGCGACACUAUGUGUUGUUGGGUAGGGGAGCGUUCUGUAAGCCUGUGAAGGUGGCCUGUGAGGGUUGCUGGAGGUAUCAGAAGUGCGAAUGCUGACAUAAGUAACGAUAAAGCGGGUGAAAAGCCCGCUCGCCGGAAGACCAAGGGUUCCUGUCCAACGUUAAUCGGGGCAGGGUGAGUCGACCCCUAAGGCGAGGCCGAAAGGCGUAGUCGAUGGGAAACAGGUUAAUAUUCCUGUACUUGGUGUUACUGCGAAGGGGGGACGGAGAAGGCUAUGUUGGCCGGGCGACGGUUGUCCCGGUUUAAGCGUGUAGGCUGGUUUUCCAGGCAAAUCCGGAAAAUCAAGGCUGAGGCGUGAUGACGAGGCACUACGGUGCUGAAGCGACAAAUGCCCUGCUUCCAGGAAAAGCCUCUAAGCAUCAGGUAACAUCAAAUCGUACCCCAAACCGACACAGGUGGUCAGGUAGAGAAUACCAAGGCGCUUGAGAGAACUCGGGUGAAGGAACUAGGCAAAAUGGUGCCGUAACUUCGGGAGAAGGCACGCUGAUAUGUAGGUGAAGCGACUUGCUCGUGGAGCUGAAAUCAGUCGAAGAUACCAGCUGGCUGCAACUGUUUAUUAAAAACACAGCACUGUGCAAACACGAAAGUGGACGUAUACGGUGUGACGCCUGCCCGGUGCCGGAAGGUUAAUUGAUGGGGUUAGCGGUAACGCGAAGCUCUUGAUCGAAGCCCCGGUAAACGGCGGCCGUAACUAUAACGGUCCUAAGGUAGCGAAAUUCCUUGUCGGGUAAGUUCCGACCUGCACGAAUGGCGUAAUGAUGGCCAGGCUGUCUCCACCCGAGACUCAGUGAAAUUGAACUCGCUGUGAAGAUGCAGUGUACCCGCGGCAAGACGGAAAGACCCCGUGAACCUUUACUAUAGCUUGACACUGAACAUUGAGCCUUGAUGUGUAGGAUAGGUGGGAGGCUUUGAAGUGUGGACGCCAGUCUGCAUGGAGCCGACCUUGAAAUACCACCCUUUAAUGUUUGAUGUUCUAACGUGGGCCCCUUACCGGGGUUGCGGACAGUGUCUGGUGGGUAGUUUGACUGGGGCGGUCUCCUCCUAAAGAGUAACGGAGGAGCACGAAGGUUGGCUAAUCCUGGUCGGACAUCAGGAGGUUAGUGCAAUGGCAUAAGCCAGCUUGACUGCGAGCGUGACGGCGCGAGCAGGUGCGAAAGCAGGUCAUAGUGAUCCGGUGGUUCUGAAUGGAAGGGCCAUCGCUCAACGGAUAAAAGGUACUCCGGGGAUAACAGGCUGAUACCGCCCAAGAGUUCAUAUCGACGGCGGUGUUUGGCACCUCGAUGUCGGCUCAUCACAUCCUGGGGCUGAAGUAGGUCCCAAGGGUAUGGCUGUUCGCCAUUUAAAGUGGUACGCGAGCUGGGUUUAGAACGUCGUGAGACAGUUCGGUCCCUAUCUGCCGUGGGCGCUGGAGAACUGAGGGGGGCUGCUCCUAGUACGAGAGGACCGGAGUGGACGCAUCACUGGUGUUCGGGUUGUCAUGCCAAUGGCACUGCCCGGUAGCUAAAUGCGGAAGAGAUAAGUGCUGAAAGCAUCUAAGCACGAAACUUGCCCCGAGAUGAGUUCUCCCUGACUCCUUGAGAGUCCUGAAGGAACGUUGAAGACGACGACGUUGAUAGGCCGGGUGUGUAAGCGCAGCGAUGCGUUGAGCUAACCGGUACUAAUGAACCGUGAGGCUUAACCUU